This 482-nucleotide ribosomal RNA is filed under the name uncultured bacterium. RNAcentral's name for it is "partial 16S ribosomal RNA". It matches the Rfam family "Bacterial small subunit ribosomal RNA", at positions 30 to 507 of the family's 1533-position model. The record is from RNAcentral.
AUUGAACGCUGGCGGCAUGCUUUACACAUGCAAGUCGAACGGUAACAGGCCGCAAGGUGCUGACGAGUGGCGAACGGGUGAGUAAUGCAUCGGAACGUGCCCAGUCGUGGGGGAUAACUACUCGAAAGAGUAGCUAAUACCGCAUACGAUCUAUGGAUGAAAGCGGGGGACCGUAAGGCCUCGCGCGAUUGGAGCGGCCGAUGUCAGAUUAGGUAGUUGGUGGGGUAAAGGCUCACCAAGCCAACGAUCUGUAGCUGGUCUGAGAGGACGACCAGCCACACUGGGACUGAGCCACGGCCCAGACUCCUACGGGAGGCAGCAGUGGGGAAUUUUGGACAAUGGGCGCAAGCCUGAUCCAGCAAUGCCGCGUGCAGGAAGAAGGCCUUCGGGUUGUAAACUGCUUUUGUACGGAACGAAACGGCUCUGGUUAAUACCCGGGGCUAAUGACGGUACCGGAAGAAUAAGCACCGGCUAACUACGUG